AUGACUUCCGGAUUCAAGGAUCAGAUUCAUCUAUCUCAACCUGAGUGUCCGGAGGGAGGAACGCUGAAGUUUCAAGCACACAGACGCAGACAGCCAUGUUUUCCGGCCUCCCGUGUAGCUAGAUUCACCGUGGGACAGAGCCCUAGGCCAUGCCCAGGCGUGGUCUGUAGACAUCUCACGCACAUGCUUCGCCAAGCUCUCCUGGAUGACGAGGAUGAGAAAGACCACAGAGGCUUUGGAGAAAUUGUGUUGAAAAGGACAGAGCCUUAGUCAUCCUUGGUUAGUGAACCACCACCCGGCUCCUCGGAUAGGGGGAAAUCGCCCUCAUGAACAAAGAACACCUGCCUUGUCUUUUAUGUGAGCAAGAAAUAGUCUUCUAGUGCAUUUCCCUUGCUCUACAUUUAGGGUUCCAUUUGUUUCAGUAGCUGUGUCCCUACUUGUCUGUAAAGACCGUUUCUUGAGAGAAUAUAUGUGUAAUACGUAAUUACACUCUAUAAUUGCAAAGCAAACAAAUAAACUGUUAAAAGUCCCUUCUCUGUGGGUCUCUAACAUUUCUUUCCUGUGUUUGGACUUGUUGGGAAGGAGGUCCUGAGAAAGAGGAGAGGGACGGGUGCACACACUCUUCCAGGUUCCCGUCAUGCCCCAAUUCCAUGAUCCCAUGACAGUCGGGGCCAUAGCAUAAAUUGUUUAGAUUUCUAAAAUGGAUCUGGAAAAUGUAUGCCUUUCCUGUUGGGGAAAUUCUCUUGAUUUAUGAUCGCCA
This 760-nucleotide long non-coding RNA is filed under the name Canis lupus familiaris (dog). Its description in RNAcentral is "lncRNA (ENSCAFG00000059203.1)". Lineage: Eukaryota; Metazoa; Chordata; Mammalia; Carnivora; Canidae. The record is from RNAcentral.